ACGGCGAGUGAACAGGCAAGAAGACUCAGUAUGUUGAAAGGCACUUUUGUGCCGUUGUAUGUCUGAAGUUAGGGUCCUGAGAAACGAUGCUUAAGUCUUCUGGAAAGGAGCGCCAUGGAGGGUGAUAGCCCCGUCUAGCAUUGACCUCAUAUAGGAUCUUAACAUGGAGUCGAGUUGUUUGGGAAUGCAGCUCAAAUGGGUGGUAUGCUCCAUCUAAAGCUAAAUAUCUGCGAGAGACCGAUAGUAAACAAGUACUGUGAGGGAAAGAUGAAAAGAACUUUGAAAAGAGAGUGAAAAAGUACGUGAAAUUGUUGAAAUGGAAGGGUAGGCCGCUAACCAUGUAGAGCCGUGUUUGGGGGGAAGAUAGAUGCUGUAGAAUGUAGCUCCUCGGAGUAUUAUAGAUGCAGUUCAUAUUCCCACCCGAGCGCGAAGAUCUCAGGUUCUACUAAAUGGUGGUCUAACACCCGUCUUGAAC
Molecule: ribosomal RNA, 475 nt
Filed under: Starmerella bacillaris
Lineage: Eukaryota; Fungi; Ascomycota; Dipodascomycetes; Dipodascales; Trichomonascaceae
Description: partial large subunit ribosomal RNA
Rfam family: Eukaryotic large subunit ribosomal RNA
Source: RNAcentral